This 449-nucleotide ribosomal RNA is filed under the name uncultured bacterium. Its description in RNAcentral is "partial 16S ribosomal RNA". It matches the Rfam family "Bacterial small subunit ribosomal RNA", at positions 29 to 523 of the family's 1533-position model. The record is from RNAcentral.
AACGAACGCUGGCGGCAGGCCUAAAACAUGCAAGUCGAACGCCCUAGCAAUAGGGAGUGGCGCACGGGUGAGUAACGCGUGGGAACGUGCCCUUCAGUACGGAACAACGUCGGGAAACUGACACUAAUACCGUAUAAUAUCUCCGGAUCAAAGAUUUAUCGCUGAAGGAGCGGCCCGCGUCUGAUUAGCUAGUUGGUGUGGUAAUGGCUCACCAAGGCUACGAUCAGUAGCUGGUCUGAGAGGAUGAUCAGCCACACUGGGACUGAGACACGGCCCAGACUCCUACGGGAGGCAGCAGUUAGGAAUAUUGGAAAAUGGGCGAAAGCCUGAUCCAGCCAUGCCGCGUGUGUGAUGAAGGCCUUAGGGUUGUAAAGCACUUUCGUUGGGGAUGAUAAUGACCGUACCCAAAGAAGAAGCCACGGCUAAUUUCGUGCCAGCAGCCGCCGUAA